Molecule: ribosomal RNA, 773 nt
Filed under: uncultured Neocallimastigales
Lineage: Eukaryota; Fungi; Neocallimastigomycota; Neocallimastigomycetes; Neocallimastigales
Description: partial large subunit ribosomal RNA
Rfam family: Eukaryotic large subunit ribosomal RNA
Source: RNAcentral
AGAGAGAGACAUGCGCGCAUAUCAAUAAGCGGAGGAAAAGAAACUAACUAGGAUUCCCUCAGUAACGGCGAGUGAAGCGGGAAGAGCUCAAAUUUGAAAUCUUCAAGGUUCUACCUUGACGAAUUGUAGUUUAAAGAAGUGUUUUCUGUUGGAGUUUUGGUAAAAGUUCUUUGGAAUAGGACAUCAUAGAGGGUGAGAAUCCCGUAUUUGACCAUUAUUUCCAGCUUUGUGAUACACUUUCAAAGAGUCGGAUUGUUUGGGAAUGCAGUCCAAAAUGGGUGGUGAAUUUCAUCUAAAGCUAAAUAUUGGCGAGAGACCGAUAGCGAACAAGUACCGUGAGGGAAAGAUGAAAAGAACUUUGAAAAGAGAGUUAAACAGUACGUGAAAUUGUCAAAAGGGAAGCGUUUGACACCAGUGUUGUUUUCUCGAAAAUCAAUUAAAAAAGGCAGGAUUUUGUGUUGUAUUGACUUUAUCAGCUUUCUGCACUCUUUUCUUGUCUUUUUUAAUGCACUUUUCGUUUAACAAGUCAACAUCAAUUUCUUUUGUUGUAAAAGGGUCAUUGGAAGGUGGCUUUCUUUUCGGAGAAAGUGUUUAUAGCCCUUGGCCUCUGCAAUCGGAGAGAUUGAGGUCUGCAGCGUAGAUCCUUCGGGGUUAGAUACAUUUGUGCUAAGUUAUAGCCUUUCAUAGACAACUUGUUGACUAUGAUCAGUCAUGUAGCUUACUCGCUUAUGCUAUUUUACCUACGCUUAGGAUGUUGAUGUGAUACUGCGAGC